This 666-nucleotide long non-coding RNA is filed under the name Helianthus annuus (common sunflower). Its description in RNAcentral is "hypothetical non coding rna". Lineage: Eukaryota; Viridiplantae; Streptophyta; Magnoliopsida; Asterales; Asteraceae. The record is from RNAcentral.
UGUGACAUGAUUUCCGUCCAGAUUAUAGAGUAUCGUGGUGUGAUAAGCAGAAUUUUCAAAUGUUUCGGUAAUGGCGUUGACGGCUACUGCGACAGAGUCAGUUCGUAAGGGGAAGUGGAUUUAGGAUAUGGUACCAUUUGAACCCAUUGAAAAUUUGAAAUAGCAACAACCACCAGCAGCAUUGAAAUGUACAAUUUAAAAGGAAGGAUCAAGAGUAUUUUUUCUCACUUUUUCUCCAUUGAUAAAGAAAUAUAUAUUAAAUAAUCAUCACCAAGUAACGAUUGAAAUAUUUAGGAUGACAGAGAUUUGCUUUUUGGACAGUUUCGACUAUUGCCAAAAGGUGGGCUUGGGGGCACAAUGGGUAAAUGUCAUGCUGUUAUCGCUUGCUUUUCUAGUCUGAGUGACAGGAGAUUCUGUUGGAUGUAUUGUUACGUGUAUUGAGAUAAACCUCCCACGUGGGCUUGGUUCACCAGCUUUUUACAAACUUGAAGCUAAGUUGGAUGAAGAUCAUCCAAGAGUGAAGAAGAUCAUCCAAGAGUUCGAUCGUGUGGUCCAGAAUUGUGUCUUUUAACGGAUCACCUGGGUACCGAGUAAAGUCGGCAUUGUUGCGUGGCGUGCCGAAGGAGACAGGUUGCCAACUAUAGUUGCUCUUGCGAAAAGAGGUAU